CCUACGGGGGGCAGCAGUGGGGAAUAUUGCGCAAUGGGCGAAAGCCUGACGCAGCGACGCCGCGUGAGGGAUGAAGGUCUUCGGAUCGUAAACCUCUGUCAGCAGGGAAGAACGGUCACUGUGCUAAUCAGCAGUGAAUUGACGGUACCUGCAAAGGAAGCACCGGCUAACUCCGUGCCAGCAGCCGCGGUAAUACGGAGGGUGCGAGCGUUAAUCGGAAUUACUGGGCGUAAAGCGCUCGUAGGCGGUAUGUCAAGUCAAGGGUGAAAUCCCCGCGCUCAACGUGGGAACUGCCUUUGAAACUGGCAAACUGGAGUGUGUGAGAGGAUAGUGGAAUUCCAGGUGUAGGAGGGAAAGCCGGAGAUAUCUGGAGGAACAUCAGUGGCGAAGGCGACUAUCUGGCACAUAACUGACGCUGAGGAGCGAAAGCGUGGGUAGCAAACAGGAUUAGAUACCCUAGUAGUC
Molecule: ribosomal RNA, 465 nt
Filed under: uncultured bacterium
Lineage: Bacteria
Description: partial 16S ribosomal RNA
Rfam family: Bacterial small subunit ribosomal RNA
Source: RNAcentral